GAUGAACGCUAGCGGCAGGCUUAACACAUGCAAGUCGAGGGGUAACAGAGGUAGCUUGCUACUUGCUGACGACCGGCGCACGGGUGCGUAACGCGUAUAGAACCUACCUUAUACUGGAGGAUAGCCUUUAGAAAUGAAGAUUAAUACUCCAUAGUGACAUUUAGUCUCCUGACUUUAUGUUUAAAGAUUUAUUGGUAUAAGAUGGCUAUGCGUUCUAUUAGCUAGAUGGUAAGGUAACGGCUUACCAUGGCAACGAUAGAUAGGGGUCCUGAGAGGGAGAUCCCCCACACUGGUACUGAGACACGGACCAGACUCCUACGGGAGGCAGCAGUGAGGAAUAUUGGUCAAUGGAGGCAACUCUGAACCAGCCAUGCCGCGUGAAGGAAGACUGCCCUAUGGGUUGUAAACUUCUUUUAUAUGGGAAGAAACGAGAUUACGUGUAAUCUUUUGACGGUACCAUACGAAUAAGGACCGGCUAACUCCG
Molecule: ribosomal RNA, 484 nt
Filed under: uncultured Flavobacteriaceae bacterium
Lineage: Bacteria; Pseudomonadati; Bacteroidota; Flavobacteriia; Flavobacteriales; Flavobacteriaceae
Description: bacterial SSU rRNA
Rfam family: Bacterial small subunit ribosomal RNA
Source: RNAcentral